This 253-nucleotide ribosomal RNA is filed under the name uncultured bacterium. Its description in RNAcentral is "partial 16S ribosomal RNA". It matches the Rfam family "Bacterial small subunit ribosomal RNA", at positions 524 to 776 of the family's 1533-position model. The record is from RNAcentral.
UACGUAGGCAGCAAGCGUUGUUCGGAGUUACUGGGCGUAAAGGGUGUGUAGGCGGUUGGGUAAGUGUGGUGUGAAAUCUCCCGGCUUAACUGGGAGGGUGCGCUACAAACUGUCUGACUAGAGUAUGGGAUGGGAGAGUGGAAUUCCUGGUGUAGCGGUGAAAUGCGUAGAUAUCAGGAGGAACACCGGUGGUGUAGACGGCUCUCUGGACCAUUACUGACGCUGAGACACGAAAGCGUGGGUAGCAAACAGG